GUGGGGAAUCUUCCGCAAUGGACGAAAGUCUGACGGAGCGACGCCGCGUGAGUGAAUAAGGCCUUCGGGUCGUAAAGCUCUGUCAUCAGGGACGAACGGCCGGUGGAGUGGAAAGCCACCGGAUUGACGGUACCUGAGAAGGAAGCCACGGCUAACUACGUGCCAGCAGCCGCGGUAAUACGUAGGUGGCAAGCGUUGUCCGGAAUUAUUCGGCGUAAAGGGCGCGCAGGUGGGAUCUUAAGUCCAUUUUUAAAGUAAGGAGCUCAACUCCAUGAUGGGAUGGAAACUGUGAUUCAUGAGUACGGGAGAGGAAAGCGGAAUACCCCGUGUAGCGGUGAAAUGCGUAGAUAUGGGGAGGAACACCAGUGGCGAAGGCGGCUUUCUGGACGGUGUCUGACACUGAGGCGCGAAAGCCAGGGGAGCGAACGGGAUUAGAUACCCGAGUAGUCC
This 450-nucleotide ribosomal RNA is filed under the name uncultured bacterium. RNAcentral's name for it is "partial 16S ribosomal RNA". It matches the Rfam family "Bacterial small subunit ribosomal RNA", at positions 354 to 796 of the family's 1533-position model. The record is from RNAcentral.